AAAAAGGCAAACACUGAAUUUCCUUGCCAACGUUUGACUGUUCGUCUUAUAUAAAUUUUUUUUAUAAUUAGUAUUUUUAUUAUUGUUAGAUGAUAAAACAUGAUUAAUACUUUAUGCGCGACUUAUUUUUUUAAUUUUUUUAUAAUUUUUUUAAAUAAGACGGACGAUCAAACAUUGGACACGGAAACCAGGGUUUGUCUUUUU
This is a non-coding RNA of Oryza glumipatula, 204 nucleotides long. NCBI's taxonomy places the organism in Eukaryota, Viridiplantae, Streptophyta, Magnoliopsida, Poales, Poaceae. The record is from Rfam.